GACGAACGCUGGCGGCGUGCUUAACACAUGCCAGUCGAACGGAAAGGCCCUGCUUUUGUGGGGUGCUCGAGUGGCGAACGGGUGAGUAACACGUGAGUAACCUGCCCUUGACUUUGGGAUAACUUCAGGAAACUGGGGCUAAUACCGGAUAGGAGCUCCUGCUGCAUGGUGGGGGUUGGAAAGUUUCGGCGGUUGGGGAUGGACUCGCGGCUUAUCAGCUUGUUGGUGGGGUAGUGGCUUACCAAGGCUUUGACGGGUAGCCGGCCUGAGAGGGUGACCGGCCACAUUGGGACUGAGAUACGGCCCAGACUCCUACGGGAGGCAGCAGUGGGGAAUAUUGCACAACGGGCGGAAGCCUGAUGCAGCAACGCCGCGUGCGGGAUGACGGCCUUCGGGUUGUAAACCGCUUUCGCCUGUGACGAAGCGUGAGUGACGGUAAUGGGUAAAGAAGCACCGGCUAACUACGUG
RNAcentral lists this ribosomal RNA (468 nucleotides) under uncultured bacterium. RNAcentral describes it as "partial 16S ribosomal RNA". It matches the Rfam family "Bacterial small subunit ribosomal RNA", at positions 28 to 507 of the family's 1533-position model. The record is from RNAcentral.